RNAcentral lists this ribosomal RNA (253 nucleotides) under uncultured bacterium. RNAcentral describes it as "partial 16S ribosomal RNA". It matches the Rfam family "Bacterial small subunit ribosomal RNA", at positions 524 to 776 of the family's 1533-position model. The record is from RNAcentral.
UACGGAGGGGGUUAGCGUUGUUCGGAAUUACUGGGCGUAAAGCGCGCGUAGGCGGAUUAGAAAGUUGGGGGUGAAAUCCCGGGGCUCAACCUCGGAACUGCCUCCAAAACUGCUAGUCUAGAGUUCGAGAGAGGUGAGUGGAAUUCCGAGUGUAGAGGUGAAAUUCGUAGAUAUUUGGAGGAACACCAGUGGCGAAGGCGGCUCACUGGCUCGAUACUGACGCUGAGGUGCGAAAGUGUGGGGAGCAAACAGG